UACGUAGGGGGCUAGCGUUGUCCGGAAUCAUUGGGCGUAAAGCGCGCGUAGGCGGCCCGGUAAGUCCGUUGUGAAAGUCAAAGGCUCAACCUUUGAAAGCCGAUGGAUACUGCCGGGCUAGAGUCCGGAAGAGGCGAGUGGAAUUCCUGGUGUAGCGGUGGAAUGCGUAGAGAUCGGGAAGAAUACCAGUGGCGAAGGCGUUCUGCUGGGCCGUUGCUGACACUGAGGCGCGACAGCGUGGGGAGCAAACAGG
This 253-nucleotide ribosomal RNA is filed under the name uncultured bacterium. RNAcentral's name for it is "partial 16S ribosomal RNA". It matches the Rfam family "Bacterial small subunit ribosomal RNA", at positions 524 to 776 of the family's 1533-position model. The record is from RNAcentral.